GCUGCUCCGCGCGGUGAGAAGGAAGAGGUUCGCUCCUCGAUCUGGACGCGGACCCCACGGCCUGCCACACGGCGAGGGGCGACCCACACAUCCUCGAUGAAAACAGUCACAGCGGCUGCGCCCCCGUUAUUCUACUUUCUGGCACGUCUCUGUGGUCAGCAGAGCUGAGGGGACCCUCGGGGGCUGUGACUCAUCAGCCCGGCAUCCACCACCGUCCCCUCCUGGCCUGGCAGAAGCUUCCUGCCAAACUGAGGACACCUCGAUCCCAAAACGGGCUGAACCUCAGCCAUUUCUUUCCCCCACCUCGGCUGGGUCGUGUCCACUCAGAAGUGAUGCCCCUCCAGCCUCCACUGAGCUGUGAGGAUCCCGACUCUGCAUGUCAUCUCCUGGGAGCAUCCGACCUCUGGGACACCAGCCGGGUUGAGCUCUGCUUCCUCUGCCUGGCAGUGGGGUUUGAUGCACUGUGAAGAAUUUUCUGGUUACUUUGUGGAUUCAGUCAUCUGGCUCCAGACAAAACUGAGCAUCCAUCUGCAUCUGAUUUCAGUCAAUCGUGAACCUGUUGUCUUUUUUCUGAGUGGUUAGUGUUGGCUGAGGGUGGAUGGGGGGAUGGCUAUUAGGGGGUGUGUUUCAUGAGAGAGAUGCUGGGGGCAUAAAGAGAGAAAACAAGAUUUGGACUAUUCCUGCUCAGAAAAAUUCACAGCUAAUAAGAAAUUAGAAAGAGUCAUCAUGCUCUUCUCACAGCAUGCUUGAGGGGUCAGUGACUCAGGGAGCCAGUGAGUGGAUCUGCUGAAUAUGUCACCUGUGCCCCUGGGGACACGCAUUCAUUCACACAGCCCUUGAGAUGGGAAUUGUUUCAUCCUGAUUUUUUUCUUAUUUCAUCUUGAUUUUAAGAAGAUAUUUGGAGAAGCACAUACUGGUAUUUGCCCUGCAUCUUAGAGAUCACUACCGUGUCAUGAUGGAAAAAUCAUAACCUCUG
This is a non-coding RNA of Odocoileus virginianus texanus, 976 nucleotides long. NCBI's taxonomy places the organism in Eukaryota, Metazoa, Chordata, Mammalia, Artiodactyla, Cervidae. The record is from RefSeq and is a predicted model, not a curated record.